UCCAUCUGCUUCAUCUCCUCUGUUGUGUGUUAAUUCUGUAUUUUAUUUUACGCUGGGAAAUAUCAGUGUGGCUCCAUUGACAGAGAUCCUGUUGGACACGAGGGACAUACUGUAAAGGUCUCAGGGAGUCUCUGGGGCUGCAGUCAUGUCACUGCUGGGGCCAGUGUACAUUUGGUGGCUGCAGUGCUGAGACCAGGAGUGCAGGAGACACUGUUGCUGAGAAAGAAAACUUGUAUAGAAGUGGGCUCUACUGCCUCUCAUUUCUCUUGUCAGUGUGUUGCUGCCCUGUUUUACAGAUCAGAAGUGAUAUGUCAGAGACUCUGGAUGAGACCAUUCCACUCAUUAAAGACAAGGUGCUGGAGAGGAACUACAUCUUAGCCAAAGCUGAUAAACUAGAGACAUCCUCUGCCAGCAGCUUGCCCCUGUGACCUGCCAGAACUCCACUGAACUGAAGACUUUUUUCCUGUGGACUAUCCAGCAGCUGCCUGCAACACAGUGGGAGGAAGGAACACAACCAAGUUUUCUUAGAAAGGACUCAGCUUUUCCAGGACUCCCUGCCUGGAGCUACUGGGAUACAGAUCAAGCCACUGACAGCUCUAAGUGGUCAUUAACAAACUCUCACCUGAUUUACUGAAGUCCUCCAUGAAAUAGUUUGGAAAACCUGCUCACAAAACAAGUUGAGGUUCAAGUUUUCUUUUAAAACAGAGAAACACAAGGAGCUCUUUUGCUGAUCUAAAUGCCAAAGUGUUUUUCCUGUAUUGUUCUUGAAACAUCAUCUACCCCUGGAGUUCAGAACUGGGACUGGCCAGUCCAACUUCCACUCCUCUGAGCUAUAAAAGCACAACAAGAGUUGUGUCCCUUCUGGGAGGGGGGAACAACAGGACACAUCUAAAUCAUCUCCACCUCCAGGUACCUGUUUUCCGUCAUCACACACAGAGUGAGUCCAACAAAUCCCAGAAAUGCUCAUUGCAGUGUCAGCAGCACAUGGAGCAGAGACUCAGCUUUGGCUCCCAGGGCCAAGUACAGUUAAACCCACCUGACUGCUCCAGAUCUCUGGGAAAUGGUUUUGCUGCUUAAAGUGUUGGAAAACACAGAAUUAUUCCC
Long non-coding RNA from Neopelma chrysocephalum (saffron-crested tyrant-manakin), 1104 nucleotides. RefSeq lists it as uncharacterized. Lineage: Eukaryota; Metazoa; Chordata; Aves; Passeriformes; Pipridae. The record is from RefSeq and is a predicted model, not a curated record. The transcript has 5 exons.